UAGCGGCAGGCUUAACACAUGCAAGUCGAGGGGUAACAGGAGAAAGCUUGCUUUUUUGCUGACGACCGGCGAACGGGUGCGUAACGCGUAUAGAAUCUGCCUUGUACAGGAGGAUAGCCUUUAGAAAUGAAGAUUAAUACUCCAUAAUGUAGAGUAGUGGCAUCGCUAUUUUAUUAAAGAUUUAUUGGUACAAGAUGACUAUGCGUCCUAUUAGCUAGAUGGUAAGGUAACGGCUUACCAUGGCGACGAUAGGUAGGGGGUCUGAGAGGAUUAUCCCCCACACUGGUACUGAGACACGGACCAGACUCCUACGGGAGGCAGCAGUGAGGAAUAUUGGUCAAUGGAGGCAACUCUGAACCAGCCAUGCCGCGUGCAGGAAGACUGCCCUAUGGGUUGUAAACUGCUUUUAUACAGGAAGAAACAGACCUACGUGUACGGCCUUGACGGUACUGUAAGAAUAAGCACCGGCUAACUCCGUGCCAGCAGCCGC
Molecule: ribosomal RNA, 490 nt
Filed under: marine sediment bacterium ISA-6373
Lineage: Bacteria
Description: bacterial SSU rRNA
Rfam family: Bacterial small subunit ribosomal RNA
Source: RNAcentral